Molecule: long non-coding RNA, 937 nt
Filed under: Olea europaea subsp. europaea
Lineage: Eukaryota; Viridiplantae; Streptophyta; Magnoliopsida; Lamiales; Oleaceae
Source: RNAcentral
GAUAGAUAUGACGUUCGGAGACGAAAUCUUAUAACAGGUAUAGUAGGUUGCACUAUGGCAACUUAUAAUGAAAUUGAAGAUAGAGAAUAAAAAGCAUCAUAUACUCAAGUAAUUAUCUCAAAUCACAUAUUUUGCUGGGUAACUAUCGUACAAAAUCUACUUGUAGUUUUCCUCUGAUAGAUGAACCAAACUUCAAUAUUCAUACUGAGGGGUCCAAUAGGCAUCUAAAUGGUAAUGAUUUCAAGAUUGGUGAACCUUAGGUAGUUACCAGAGUAACAAUUCAUCCAUACAGGUAAUGCAAUAGACCAUAAACUGCUUCAAUAUUCUACAACCGUAGACAAAUGUCAAGGCCUUACCUAGAGAUGAUGUGUGCAUUAAAGCAAUAACUAGGAUCCACCAUAUCUAAAAUGGAAACAACUAAUAUUUGAAGUUUUGAACAAUUACGUACCCAUUAGUAAUGGUGAAUAAUGUCAACCAACGCAAUAGAGAGACGAUUUGCUGUAUCCACUGCGAGGUGAAAUACUGCAGCAACAUGGAGAUCUUCUCCCAACACGACUAUAACUCCUGAAACAAGAUGCUAGUAUUGUGAUAUCUGAUAUCAAAUCUAUAAGAAAGAAAGCCUCAAAUAUAUAGUAAGUAAAUGGAUUGAAGAAAAUGAUUUUGAAAGAUCGAGAAGAUUUUUAGAGUUUGAAUAUUGUUGAGGGAAGAAAUUAGGGAAUUUUUAUGGAAAUAAUGAGGAAUUUAUCAUUGAAAAUGAAUAUUAACAUAAAAUUCUUGGAGAAUUCUAUGGAUGUUCGAAAAGUGAUUUGGGUUAUUGAUGAUGAUUGUGAGGUUUCAAGCUAUUUUGAAAUGGAUUUUGAGGGUAAUUAGAUUAUGACAUAAUUGGGGAUUAGGUGGCUGUAAUUGGAGGAUUUAAGAUGUUGGUUGAGCAAAUUAC